AAAGGAAUUGACGGGGACCCGCACAAGCGGUGGAUUAUGUGGAUUAAUUCGAUGCAACGCGAAAAACCUUACCUACCUUUGACAUGCUUGGAAUUCUUUGGAGACAGAGAAGUGCCCGUAAGGGAGCCAAGACACAGGUGCUGCAUGGCUGUCGUCAGCUCGUGUCGUGAGAUGUUGGGUUAAGUCCCGCAACGAGCGCAACCCUUGUCAUUAAUUGCUAUCAUUUUUAAUGAGCACUUUAAUGAGACUGCCGGUGACAAACCGGAGGAAGGUGGGGAUGACGUCAAGUCCUCAUGGCCCUUAUGGGUAGGGCUUCACACGUAAUACAAUGGCGUGUACAGAGGGUUGCUAACCCGCGAGGGGGUGCCAAUCUCAGAAAGCACGUCGUAGUCCGGAUCGGAGUCUGCAACUCGACUCCGUGAAGUCGGAAUCGCUAGUAAUCGCGGAUCAGAAUGUCGCGGUGAAUACGUUCCCGGGUCUUGUACACACCGCCCGU
Molecule: ribosomal RNA, 496 nt
Filed under: uncultured bacterium
Lineage: Bacteria
Description: bacterial SSU rRNA
Rfam family: Bacterial small subunit ribosomal RNA
Source: RNAcentral